MicroRNA precursor from Bison bison bison, 61 nucleotides. The record is from Ensembl. Lineage: Eukaryota; Metazoa; Chordata; Mammalia; Artiodactyla; Bovidae.
UCUGCAUCCGAGGACUCAACCCAUUUGAUUGGCGGUUGGUUGAAUCCACAGAUGUGAGACC